This 657-nucleotide unclassified non-coding RNA is filed under the name uncultured Thelephoraceae. RNAcentral describes it as "sequence contains ITS1, 5.8S rRNA gene, ITS2". The stretch from base 217 to 371 matches the Rfam family "5.8S ribosomal RNA". The record is from RNAcentral. Lineage: Eukaryota; Fungi; Basidiomycota; Agaricomycetes; Thelephorales; Thelephoraceae.
GGAAGGAUCAUUACCGAAUUGCCAACAUGAGUUGUUGCUGGCCCUCAAUGGGGGCAUGUGCACACUCUGUUUGCACAUCCACUCACACCUGUGCACACUCUGUAGUUCUAUGGCCUGUGGGGCUCUGUCCUCCUGUGCUGUGGUUCUAUAUCUUUACACACACACACUGUAAUGAGGUAUCAUGGAAUGUAUGCCGCGUUUAACGCAAUACAAUACAACUUUCAGCAACGGAUCUCUUGGCUCUCGCAUCGAUGAAGAACGCAGCGAAAUGCGAUAAGUAAUGUGAAUUGCAGAAUUCAGUGAAUCAUCGAAUCUUUGAACGCACCUUGCGCCCUUUGGCUAUUCCGAAGGGCAUGCCUGUUUGAGUAUCAUGAACACCUCAACUCUCAUGGUUUGCCAUGAUGAGCUUGGACUUUGGGGGUCUUGCUGGCCUUAUGGUCGGCUCCUCUCAAACGGAUCAGCUUGCCAGUGUUUGGUGGCGUCACAGGUGUGAUAACUAUCUACGCUUGUGGCUCUCUGCCAGAUAACCUUCAGCGAUGGAGGUCCACUGGGGCUCAUAAAUGUCUCUCCUCAGCGAGGACAGCUCUUUGAAUGUUUGAUCUCAAAUCAGUAGGACUACCCGCUGAACUUAAGCAUAUCAAUAAGCGGAGGAAAAGA